UAAUAAGUGUUUUAUGGCACUUUUUAAAUCCAUAUCCACCUUGUGUGCAAUGUCAGGUUGUCCUCUUCAUUUUCUGGAGAGGAUGACCCAAACAUCAACUUAUCCUUGAACAACAUUCGUCUGAUAACAUAUUAUGAAUAUACUUAAUUCAAAAUA
Molecule: unclassified non-coding RNA, 156 nt
Filed under: uncultured Mortierella
Lineage: Eukaryota; Fungi; Mortierellomycota; Mortierellomycetes; Mortierellales; Mortierellaceae
Description: sequence contains ITS1
Source: RNAcentral